GGACUACUCGGGUAUCUAAUCCCGUUCGCUCCCCUGGCUUUCGCGCCUCAGCGUCAGAAGGCGUCCAGCAGACCGCUUUCGCCACCGGCGUUCCUUCCGAUAUCUACGCAUUUCACCGCUCCACCGGAAGUUCCGUCUGCCCCUACGCCCCUCCAGCCCGCCAGUAUCAGAAGCACUUUCCCGGUUGAGCCGGAAGAUUUCACCCCUGACUUGGCGAGCCGCCUACGCGCCCUUUAAGCCCAGUGAAUCCGAACAACGUUCGCACGGUUCGUCUUACCGCGGCUGCUGGCAC
RNAcentral lists this ribosomal RNA (292 nucleotides) under uncultured bacterium. RNAcentral's name for it is "partial 16S ribosomal RNA". The record is from RNAcentral. RNAcentral also lists the same sequence under 1 other name.